This 460-nucleotide ribosomal RNA is filed under the name uncultured bacterium. RNAcentral's name for it is "partial 16S ribosomal RNA". It matches the Rfam family "Bacterial small subunit ribosomal RNA", at positions 338 to 795 of the family's 1533-position model. The record is from RNAcentral.
CCUACGGGAGGCAGCAGUGAGGAAUAUUGGUCAAUGGACGAGAGUCUGAACCAGCCAAGUAGCGUGAAUGAUGACUGCCCUAUGGGUUGUAAACUUCUUUUAUAUGGGAAUAAAAUGUUCCACGUGUGGGUUUUUGUAUGUACCAUAUGAAUAAGGAUCGGCUAACUCCGUGCCAGCAGCCGCGGUAAUACGGAGGAUCCGAGCGUUAUCCGGAUUUAUUGGGUUUAAAGGGAGCGUAGGGUGGUUGUUAAGUCAGUUGUGAAAGUUUGCGGCUCAACCGUAAAAUUGCAGUUGAAACUGGCAGUCUUGAGUACAGUAGAGGUGGGCGGAAUUCGUGGUGUAGCGGUGAAAUGCUUAGAUAUCACGAAGAACUCCGAUUGCGAAGGCAGCUCACUGGACUGCAACUGACACUGAGGCUCGAAAGUGUGGGUAUCAAACAGGAUUAGAUACCCCUGUAGUC